AGCGUAACAAGGUUUCCGUAGGUGAACCUGCGGAAGGAUCAUUACCGAGUGUAGGGUUCCUAGCGAGCCCAACCUCCCACCCGUGUUUACUGUACCUUAGUUGCUUCGGCGGGCCCGCCAUUCAUGGCCGCCGGGGGCUCUCAGCCCCGGGCCCGCGCCCGCCGGAGACACCACGAACUCUGUCUGAUCUAGUGAAGUCUGAGUUGAUUGUAUCGCAAUCAGUUAAAACUUUCAACAAUGGAUCUCUUGGUUCCGGCAUCGAUGAAGAACGCAGCGAAAUGCGAUAACUAGUGUGAAUUGCAGAAUUCCGUGAAUCAUCGAGUCUUUGAACGCACAUUGCGCCCCCUGGUAUUCCGGGGGGCAUGCCUGUCCGAGCGUCAUUGCUGCCCAUCAAGCACGGCUUGUGUGUUGGGUCGUCGUCCCCUCUCCGGGGGGGACGGGCCCCAAAGGCAGCGGCGGCACCGCGUCCGAUCCUCGAGCGUAUGGGGCUUUGUCACCCGCUCUGUAGGCCCGGCCGGCGCUUGCCGAACGCAAAUCAAUCUUUUCCAGGUGACCUCGAUCAGAGAACUCACAACUCGAGCCGGCCC
RNAcentral lists this ribosomal RNA (587 nucleotides) under Aspergillus sp. RNAcentral's name for it is "eukaryotic LSU rRNA". The stretch from base 227 to 380 matches the Rfam family "5.8S ribosomal RNA". The record is from RNAcentral. Lineage: Eukaryota; Fungi; Ascomycota; Eurotiomycetes; Eurotiales; Aspergillaceae.